AAGGCCUCUAAAUUAAAAUGUUUCUAAGAAGGUGAAAAGCUGAUUUAGUUAUUGCUUUCACAUGGCUGUUUAAACCGUCCAUGACAGUCAAACAGGAUCACUCAGUUGGUUCCAGUAAGCCAAGUGAGAAAACAAAAACCCUCUGGGCUCUGGGCGUGACUCUAAGUCUUGCCUUGUUUCUAUUUUUCCACCACACAACAGAAACGAAGGAUCACUCAGUUGGUUGGUUCCAUGUAAAACAAAAAGGAAGCAAAGUGAGAAAAAAAACCCUCUUGGGUUGGGCUCUGGGCGUGUCUUGCCUUCUCUCUACUUAGUCGCCACACAACAGAAACAAACUUACACACGAGUACAGUUUGCCGGCUAGGAGCCACACUCUACUCCAGUCCCUGUUUUCCCUGCCUUCAUCAAGUCAUGAGCUCUAUCCCCAGUGUCUCAAGGCGAGCAUCAUUGCCUUCACCACGAGCAUCAUCGCCUUCACGGCGAGCAUCAUCGUCUUCACGGAGAGCAUCAUUGUUUUCACCGCGAGCAUCAUCGCCUUCACGGCGAGCAUCAUCGUCUUCACGGAGAGCAUCAUUGUUUUCACGGCGAUCAUCAUUGUUUUCACGGCGAGCAUCAUCGUCUUCUUCGGUCGGGUCAGACACCUCCACAGGCUGUAGUCAUGAGGAGCGACGCAGUGUAGUGUUCUGUGACACAUGCUCAAAGCCACUAUGUGAUGUCUGCCUGAUUAAUGGCAAACAUCGUGGACACAAUUUUAAGACCUUAAAGGAUGCAUGCAAAGACCAAACAGUUAAGAUUGCUCAGAAGUUAGAGAAUUUGGCUUCCAAAGCAAGGACACAGGGUAACGUUAAACAAUGGGUGGAGAGGCAAGAGAAACUGCUUGAAGUAAGAGUAAAUCCUUUGAGUGAUGAGUGAAUGUUCUAUUUUUAGCUGCUUUUCAUACUUUAGGCUCUCAAAACCUCAUUCACGUAUUAAAGAAAAUAAAAACUCCUGCGGGAAGAUUUUGAAAAUCCUCAUAAUUUUAUGUCACCUUUCACCUUUCUCAGAUUGAGUUCAAACGGGUGCGAGAUAGUCUUACUGAGCAAUAUACAGAGCUUCGAUAUCUGCUGGACCGCAACAUGAAACAGGCGUUCAAGCUGUUGGAGACCCAGCGGGAGAGUCAGAAGAAGACCGUGUAUCAUCUGGAGGAAGAUGGAAAGAACUACAGGGAACGAACGGAGGACCUUCAGACAAAAAUAGCAAAUCUGGAAAAAAGGGUGUCGUCAGAAAAGAGUUCUGAAUGCAUUCUGGUAAGACAUAUUUUUUCACAGUAAAUAUUUUUCU
Long non-coding RNA from Clupea harengus (Atlantic herring), 1320 nucleotides. NCBI's taxonomy places the organism in Eukaryota, Metazoa, Chordata, Actinopteri, Clupeiformes, Clupeidae. The record is from Ensembl.